UUAGAUACCCUGGUAGUCCACGCNGUAAACGAUGUCGACUUGGAGGUUGUGCCCUUGAGGCGUGGCUUCCGGAGCUAACGCGUUAAGUCGACCGCCUGGGGAGUACGGCCGCAAGGUUAAAACUCAAAUGAAUUGACGGGGGCCCGCACAAGCGGUGGAGCAUGUGGUUUAAUUCGAUGCAACGCGAAGAACCUUACCUACUCUUGACAUCCAGAGAAUUCGCUAGAGAUAGCUUAGUGCCUUCGGGAACUCUGAGACAGGUGCUGCAUGGCUGUCGUCAGCUCGUGUUGUGAAAUGUUGGGUUAAGUCCCGCAACGAGCGCAACCCUUAUCCUUUGUUGCCAGCGCGUAAUGGCGGGAACUCAAAGGAGACUGCCGGUGAUAAACCGGAGGAAGGUGGGGAUGACGUCAAGUCAUCAUGGCCCUUACGAGUAGGGCUACACACGUGCUACAAUGGCGUAUACAAAGAGAAGCGAACUCGCGAGAGCAAGCGGACCUCAUAAAGUACGUCGUAGUCCGGAUCGGAGUCUGCAACUCGACUCCGUGAAGUCGGAAUCGCUAGUAAUCGUAGAUCAGAAUGCUACGGUGAAUACGUUCCCGGGCCUUGUACACACCGCCCGUCACACCAUGGGAGUGGGUUGCAAAAGAAGUAGGUAGCUUAACCUUCGGGAGGGCGCUUACCACUUUGUGAUUCAUGACUGGGGUGAAGUCGUAACAAGGUA
Molecule: ribosomal RNA, 721 nt
Filed under: Serratia sp. (in: enterobacteria)
Lineage: Bacteria; Pseudomonadati; Pseudomonadota; Gammaproteobacteria; Enterobacterales; Yersiniaceae
Description: bacterial SSU rRNA
Rfam family: Bacterial small subunit ribosomal RNA
Source: RNAcentral